Molecule: transfer RNA, 50 nt
Filed under: Coprobacter fastidiosus
Lineage: Bacteria; Pseudomonadati; Bacteroidota; Bacteroidia; Bacteroidales; Barnesiellaceae
Description: tRNA-Pro
Rfam family: tRNA
About the family: Transfer RNA (tRNA) molecules are approximately 80 nucleotides in length. Their secondary structure includes four short double-helical elements and three loops (D, anti-codon, and T loops).
Source: RNAcentral
CGGGGUGUAGCGCAGUCCGGUUAGCGCACCUGCUUUGGGAGCAGGGGGUC